RNAcentral lists this unclassified non-coding RNA (420 nucleotides) under soil metagenome. RNAcentral describes it as "partial contains 5.8S ribosomal RNA, internal transcribed spacer 2, and large subunit ribosomal RNA". The stretch from base 1 to 120 matches the Rfam family "5.8S ribosomal RNA", at positions 35 to 154 of the family's 154-position model. The record is from RNAcentral.
GAUGAAGAACGCAGCGAAAUGCGAUACGUAAUGUGAAUUGCAGAAUUCAGUGAAUCAUCGAAUCUUUGAACGCAUAUUGCGCUCUCUGGUAUUCCGGAGAGCAUGCUUGUUUGAGUAUCAGUAAACACCUCAACUCCCUUUCUUCUUGAAAUGGAGCUGGACUUGAGUGAUCCCAACGCUUUAUUCGUAAAGUGGCGGGUUACUUGAAAUGCAGGUGCAGCUGGACUUUUCUCUGAGCUAUAAGCAUAUCUAUUUAGUCCUCGUCAAACAGGAUUAUUACUUUUGCUGCAGCUAACAUAAAGGAUAAUUGUCCUCUUUGCUGACUGAUGCAGGAUUUUACGACACUUUAUGUGUUGUUCAACUCGAUCUCAAAUCAAGUAAGACUACCCGCUGAACUUAAGCAUAUCAAUAAGCGGAGGA